GAUGAAUGCUGGCGGCGUGCCUAAUACAUGCAAGUCGUGCGGCAGCGCGAGUAGUUUACUACUUGGCGGCGAGCGGCGGACGGCUGAGUAACGCGUGGGAACGUGCCCCAAAGUGAGGGAUAAGCCCGAGAAAUCGGGUCUAAUACCGCAUAUGGUCUUCGGAUUAAAGCUUCGGCGCUUUGGGAGCGGCCCGCGUACGAUUAGAUUGUUGGUGAGGUAAUGGCUCACCAAGUCGACGAUCGUUAGCUGGUCUGAGAGGAUGAUCAGCCAGACUGGAACUGAGACACGGUCCAGACUCCUACGGGAGGCAGCAGUAAGGAAUCUUCCACAAUGGGGGCAACCCUGAUGGAGCAACGCCGCGUGCAGGAUGAAGGCCCUCGGGUCGUAAACUGCUUUUAUGAGUGAAGAAUAUGACGGUAACUCAUGAAUAAGCACCGGCUAACUACGUGCCAGCAGCCGCGGUCAUACGUAGGGUGCAAGCAUUAUCCGGAGUGACUGGGCGUAAAGAGUUGCGUAGGCGGUUAGUAAAGCGAAUAGUGAAACCUGGUGGCUCAACCAUACAGACUAUUAUUCGAACUCACUAACUCGAGAGUGGUAGAGGUAACUGGAAUUUCUUGUGUAGGAGUGAAAUCCGUAGAUAUAAGAAGGAACACCAAUGGCGUAGGCAGGUUACUGGACCAUUUCUGACGCUAAGGCACGAAAGCGUGGGGAGCGAACGGGAUUAGAUACCCCGGUAGUCCACGCCGUAAACGAUGGAUACUAGCUGUUGGAGGUAUCGACCCCUUCAGUAGCGAAGCUAACGCGUUAAGUAUCCCGCCUGUGGAGUACGGCCGCAAGGCUAAAACAUAAAGGAAUUGACGGGGAUCAGCACAAGCGGUGGAUCGUGUUCUUUAAUUCGAUGAUAAACGAAGAACCUUACCAGGGCUUGACAUCCA
This 935-nucleotide ribosomal RNA is filed under the name uncultured bacterium. RNAcentral describes it as "bacterial SSU rRNA". It matches the Rfam family "Bacterial small subunit ribosomal RNA", at positions 28 to 990 of the family's 1533-position model. The record is from RNAcentral.